RNAcentral lists this ribosomal RNA (630 nucleotides) under uncultured bacterium. RNAcentral describes it as "bacterial SSU rRNA". It matches the Rfam family "Bacterial small subunit ribosomal RNA", at positions 338 to 954 of the family's 1533-position model. The record is from RNAcentral.
CCUACGGGAGGCAGCAGUGGGGAAUUUUGGACAAUGGGGGCAACCCUGAUCCAGCCAUUCCGCGUGAGUGAAGAAGGCCUUCGGGUUGUAAAGCUCUUUCGCAAGGGAAGAAAACUUAUGAUCGAAUAAAUCAUGAGGUUGACGGUACCUUGAUAAGAAGCACCGGCUAACUACGUGCCAGCAGCCGCGGUAAUACGUAGGGUGCGAGCGUUAAUCGGAAUUACUGGGCGUAAAGCGUGCGCAGGCGGUUUUGUAAGUCGGAUGUGAAAUCCCCGGGCUCAACCUGGGAACUGCGUUCGAAACUGCAAGGCUAGAGUGUGUCAGAGGGGGGUUAGAAUUCCACGUGUAGCAGUGAAAUGCGUAGAGAUGUGGAGGAAUACCAAUGGCGAAGGCAGCCCCCUGGGAUAACACUGACGCUCAUGCACGAAAGCGUGGGGAGCAAACAGGAUUAGAUACCCUGGUAGUCCACGCCCUAAACGAUGUACACUAGUUGUUGGUAGAGUAAACUNUAUGAGUAACGUAGCUAACGCGUAGAGUUCGACCACGUGGGGAGUACGGUCGACAAGAAUUAAAACGUUAAGUAGAAGUUGACGGCGUGAGACGUGCGACGGACGACGACGAGGGAGGAGG